This 389-nucleotide ribosomal RNA is filed under the name uncultured bacterium. RNAcentral describes it as "bacterial SSU rRNA". It matches the Rfam family "Bacterial small subunit ribosomal RNA", at positions 29 to 414 of the family's 1533-position model. The record is from RNAcentral.
AUUGAACGCUGGCGGCGUGCUUAACACAUGCAAGUCGUGCGGGUAACAGGGCGUAGCAAUACGUGCUGACGAGCGGCGAACGGGUGCGUAAUACAUGGGAAUCUGCCCUUUAGUGGGGAAUAACCCGGCGAAAGCCGGGCUAAUGCCGCAUAAGAUCUUCGGGAUGAAAGGCGGGGGAUCGUAAGACCUCGCGCUGAUGGAUGAGCCCAUGCCGGAUUAGCAGUUGGUGAGGUAACGGCUCACCAAGGCGACGAACCGUAGCUGGUCUGAGAGGACGGCCAGCCACACUGGGACUGAGACACGGCCCAGACUCCUACGGGAGGCAGCAGGUGGGAAUAUUGGACAAGUGGGGAAACCCUGAUCCAGCGACGCCGCGUGUGUGAAGAAGG